GUUUCCGUAGGUGAACCUGCGGAAGGAUCAUUACUGAGUGAGGGCCCUCGGGCUCGACCUCCAACCCUUUGUGAACACAACUUGUUGCUUCGGGGGCGACCCUGCCGUCUCGACGGCCAGCGCCCCCGGAGGCCUUCAAACCCUGCAUCUUUGCGUCGGAGUCGAAGUUUAAGGAAAAACCAAAACUUUCAACAACGGUUCUCUGGUUCUGGCUCCGAUAAAGAACGCAGCGAAAUGCGAUAAGUAAUGUGAAUUGCAGAUUCCAGUGAAUCAUCGAAUCUUUGAACGCACAUUGCGCCCUUUGGUAUUCCGAAGGGCAUGCCUGUUCGAGCGUCAUUUCACCACUCAAGCCUCGCUUGGUGUUGGGCGCCGCGGAGGUUACCGCGCGCCUCAAAGUCUUCCGGCUGAGCUGUCCGUCUCAAGCGUUGUGAUUUCAUUAAUCGCUUCGGAGCGCGGGCGGUCGCGGCCGUUAAAUCUUUCACAAGGUUGGACUCGGAUCAGGUAGGGAUACCCGCUGAACUUAAGCAUAU
RNAcentral lists this ribosomal RNA (530 nucleotides) under Cercospora caricis. RNAcentral describes it as "eukaryotic LSU rRNA". The stretch from base 184 to 336 matches the Rfam family "5.8S ribosomal RNA". Lineage: Eukaryota; Fungi; Ascomycota; Dothideomycetes; Mycosphaerellales; Mycosphaerellaceae. The record is from RNAcentral.